This 400-nucleotide unclassified non-coding RNA is filed under the name soil metagenome. RNAcentral's name for it is "partial contains 5.8S ribosomal RNA, internal transcribed spacer 2, and large subunit ribosomal RNA". The stretch from base 1 to 122 matches the Rfam family "5.8S ribosomal RNA", at positions 35 to 154 of the family's 154-position model. The record is from RNAcentral.
GAUGAAGAACGUAGCGAAAUGCGAUACUUGGUGUGAAUUGCAGAAUCCCGUGAACCAUCGAGUCUUUGAACGCAAGUUGCGCCUCAAGCCAUUAGGUUGAGGGCACGUCUGCCUGGGCGUCACAUAUCGUUGCCUGAUGCCAGUUUCCUCGUGAUGGGUGACUGUGCAGGGCGAAUGAUGCCUUCCCGUGAGCAUUGUUGCCUCAUGGUUGGUUGAAAAUUGAGUCCUUGGUAGGGAGCGCCGUGAUAGAUGGUGGUUGAGUGACGAACGAGACCCAAUCAUGUGAGACCCCUACCGAAUUUGGCCUUCAUGACCCACAUGCGUCUUUGGAACGCUCAUGACGAGACCUCAGGUCAGGCGGGGCUACCCGCUGAGUUUAAGCAUAUCAAUAAGCGGAGGA